GAUGAACGCUGGCGGCGUGCCUAAUACAUGCAAGUCGAGCGAACAGACGAGGAUCUUACUCCUCUGACGUUAUCGGCUGACGUGUGUGUAACACGUGUAUAACCUACCUAUAUUACUUGGAUAACUUCGGGAAACCGGAGCUAAUACCGGAUAACCUUUUGAACCGCAUGGUUCAACAGUUAAUGACGGUCUUUCUGUCUCUUAUCGAUUGAUCCGCGUGGCAUUAGCUAGUUGGUAAGGUAACGGCUUACCAAGGCAACGAUGCGUAGCCGACCUGAGAGGGAGAUCGGAGAAACUGGAACUGAGACACGGUCCAGACUCCUACGGGAGGAAGCAGUAGGGAAGAUUCCGCAAUGGGGGAAAGGAUGACGGAGCAAAGCCGAGUGAGUGAAGAAGGUCUUCGGAUCGUAAAACUCUGUUAUGAGGGAAGAAAAAAGGUGUAAGUAAAUAUGAACGUAUUGACGGUAACAAAAAAGAAAGCAACGGCUAACUACGUG
RNAcentral lists this ribosomal RNA (497 nucleotides) under uncultured bacterium. RNAcentral's name for it is "partial 16S ribosomal RNA". It matches the Rfam family "Bacterial small subunit ribosomal RNA", at positions 28 to 507 of the family's 1533-position model. The record is from RNAcentral.